RNAcentral lists this ribosomal RNA (1376 nucleotides) under uncultured bacterium. Its description in RNAcentral is "16S ribosomal RNA". It matches the Rfam family "Bacterial small subunit ribosomal RNA". The record is from RNAcentral.
UUCGCCCUUACAGUUUGAUCCUGGCUCAGGACGAACGCUGGCGGCGUGCCUAACACAUUCAAGUCGAACGGUGAAGCCCUUCGGGGCGUAUCUUUGGCGGACGAGGUGAGUAACGCGUGAGCGACCUGCCUUACGGUACGGGAUACACGUCCGGAAACAGACGCUAAUACCGAAUGAUGCAUCGGGGACGCAUGUUUCUGAUGCCAAAGAUUUAUUGCUGUAAGAUGGGCUCGCGUCUGAUUAGGUAGUUGGCGGGGGAACGGCCCACCAAGCCUACGAUCAGUAGCCGGACUGAGAGGUUGAACGGCCACAUUGGAACUGAGAAACGGUCCAGACUCCUACGGGAGGCAGCAGUGGGGAAUAUUGGGCAAUGGGCGAAAGCCUGACCCAGCGACGCCGCGUGAGGGAAGACGGUCUUCGGAUUGUAAACCUCUUUUAUAUGGGACGAAUCAAUGACGGUACCAUAUGAAUAAGCCACGGCUAACUACGUGCCAGCAGCCGCGGUAAUACGUAGGUGGCAAGCGUUAUCCGGAUUUACUGGGUGUAAAGGGUGUGUAGGCGGGAUGGUAAGUCAGAUGUGAAAAUUACGGGCUCAACUCGUAACCUGCAUUUGAAACUGCUGUUCUUGAGGGUCGGAGAGGUAGACGGAAUUCCUGGUGUAGCGGUGAAAUGCGUAGAUAUCAGGAGGAACACCGGUGGCGAAGGCGGUCUACUGGACGAUUACUGACGCUGAGACACGAAAGCGUGGGGAGCAAACAGGAUUAGAUACCCUGAUAGUCCACGCCGUAAACGACGAAUAAGAGGUGUGGGGGAGCAAUGUUCCGUGCAGCCAGUUAACGCAAAUAAGCAUUCCACCUGGGGAGAACGGCCGCAAGGUUGAAACUCAAAGGAAUUGACGGGAGCCCGCACAAGCAGUGGAGUAUGUGGUUUAAUUCGACGCAACGCGAAGAACCUUACCAGGUCAUGACAUCCCGAGAACCCGGCGUAAUGGCUGGGGUGCCCUUCGGGGAAUUCGGUGACAGGUGGUGCAUGGUUGUCGUCAGCUCGUGUCGUGAGAUGUUGGGUUAAGUCCCGCAACGAGCGCAACCCCUACGGUUAGUUGCUACGCAAGAGCACUCUAGCCGGACUGCCGUUGACAAAACGGAGGAAGGCGGGGAUGACGUCAAAUCAUCAUGCCCCUUACGAUCUGGGCUACACACGUGCUACAAUGGCACAACAAAGAGAAGCGAACCCGCGAGGGAGAGCAAACCUCAAAAAUAGUGUCCCAGUUCGGACUGUAGUCUGCAACCCGACUACACGAAGCCGGAAUCGCUAGUAAUCGCGGAUCAGAAUGCCGCGGUGAAUACGUUCCCGGGUCUUGCACACACCGCCCGUCA